Molecule: ribosomal RNA, 401 nt
Filed under: uncultured bacterium
Lineage: Bacteria
Description: bacterial SSU rRNA
Rfam family: Bacterial small subunit ribosomal RNA
Source: RNAcentral
GAGGAAUCUUCCACAAUGGGCGCAAGCCUGAUGGAGCAAUGCCGCGUGCAGGAAGACGCUUUUCGGAGUGUAAACUGCUUUUCUGAAGGAAGAUUAUGACGGUACUUCAGGAAUAAGGAUCGGCUAACUACGUGCCAGCAGCCGCGGUAAUACGUAGGAUCCAAGCGUUAUCCGGAAUUACUGGGCGUAAAGCGUGCGCAGACGGUUUGGUAGGUCUGGUGCGAAAUCCGGUGGCUCAACCACCUGGACUGUACCAGAAACCCCCUGACUCGAGGUCGGUAGAGGCAAGUGGAAUUGCUGGUGUAGGGGUGACAUCCGUAGAUAUCAGCAGGAACACCAAUGGCGAAGGCAGCUUGCUGGGCCGUACCUGACGUUCAGGCACGAAAGCGUGGGGAGCGAAC